UUUGAUCCUGGCUCAGGAUGAACGCUAGCGGCAGGCCUAAUACAUGCAAGCUGAACGGCAAGUUUUGUAGCAAUACGAGACCUAGAGUAGCGUAAGGGUGCGUAACACGUAUGCAAUCUACCCACAACAGGAGGAUAGCUCCCCGAAAGGGGAAUUAAGACUCCAUAAUAUCACAUGAGGGCAUCUGAGUGUGAUUAAAGUACAAGCGGUUGUGGAUGAGCAUGCGUCUGAUUAGUUAGUUGGCGGGGUAACGGCCCACCAAGACGAUGAUCAGUAGGGGAACUGAGAGGUUGGUCCCCCACACUGGCACUGAGAUACGGGCCAGACUCCUACGGGAGGCAGCAGUAGGGAAUAUUGGACAAUGGGUGCAAGCCUGAUCCAGCCAUGCCGCGUGCAGGAAGACAGCCUUCUGGGUUGUAAACUGCUUUUACCAGGGGAUAAAAUAGUCUUGCGAGACGAAUUGAAGGUACCUGGUGAAUAAGCCACGGCUAACUACGUGCCAGCAGCCGCGGUAAUACGUAGGUGGCAAGCGUUGUCCGGAUUUAUUGGGUUUAAAGGGUGCGUAGGCGGUAGCCUAAGUCAGCAGUGAAAUACGGCAGCUUAACUGUCGAGGUGCUGUUGAUACUGGGUUACUUGAGUACUGAUGAGGUAGGCGGAAUGGACGGUGUAGCGGUGAAAUGCUUAGAGAUCGUCCAGAACACCGAUAGCGAAGGCAGCUUACUAAGGAGUAACUGACGCUGAGGCACGAAAGUGUGGGGAUCAAACAGGAUUAGAUACCCUGGUAGUCCACACUGUAAACGAUGAUUACUCGAUGUGUGCGAUACACAGCACGCGUCUUAGCAAAAGCGAUAAGUAAUCCACCUGGGGGAGUACGCCGGGCACGGUGAAACUCAAAGGAAUUGACGGGGGUCCGC
This 914-nucleotide ribosomal RNA is filed under the name uncultured bacterium. Its description in RNAcentral is "bacterial SSU rRNA". It matches the Rfam family "Bacterial small subunit ribosomal RNA", at positions 12 to 924 of the family's 1533-position model. The record is from RNAcentral.